UUGGGCUGUAGCUAGGCGAGGUGGGGGCAUAACUUGGAGAAGUUGGAGAAUAAGAUGGUGAUGUUGGGCUAUAUCCAGGAGAAGUAGGGCUGUAAGAAGGUGAUGUGGGACUGUAACCAGGAGAGGUAGGACUAUAACCUGGGGAAGUAGGACUGUAACCAGGUGAUGUAGGACUAUACCCAGGUGAUGUGGGGCUGUAACCUGGUGACAAGGGACUGUAUCCAGGAGAGGAAGGGCUGUAUCCUGGAGAUGACGGGGAGAAGGGCAUGUUCCCGACGUACGGCGAAAACUGCGCAUCUGAUAGUGGAGAAGCACGCAGACUUGGACUAAGCAGAUAACUGGGUGACAUCAUGCCAUCAUUGUGUGGCGUUCCGAUCAUA
Molecule: long non-coding RNA, 380 nt
Filed under: Physcomitrium patens
Lineage: Eukaryota; Viridiplantae; Streptophyta; Bryopsida; Funariales; Funariaceae
Description: long non-coding RNA (PPAT_LNC008662)
Source: RNAcentral